This 1006-nucleotide long non-coding RNA is filed under the name Salmo salar (Atlantic salmon). RNAcentral describes it as "lncRNA (ENSSSAG00000100498.1)". The record is from RNAcentral. Lineage: Eukaryota; Metazoa; Chordata; Actinopteri; Salmoniformes; Salmonidae.
GUAGAGCCUCUAGCCCUGCUUCAAUAUGCCUUAUUUAACACUUUAGUUCCACACUACAACACGUGCAGUGACAUCACCUGCUUUAAUUAAAUGAUAUUUCUAGAGACAAUGUCUCUUUCAUCAUCACUCUAUGUACAGGUUAACCCUCACUGUAUCCACAUCCUACCAUACCUUUGUCUGUACAUUAUGCCUUGAAUCUAUUCUACUGCGCCCAGAAAUCUGUUCCUUUUACUCUCUGUUCCGGACGUCCUAGACGACCAGUUAUUUUAGCCUUUAGCCGUACCCUUAUCCUACUCCUCCUCUGUUCCUCUGGUGAUGUAGAGGUUAACCCAGGCCCUGCAGCCCCCUGCACCACUCCCAUUCCCCAGGUUCUUAUAGCCUUUAGCCGUACCCUCAUCCUACUCCUCCUCUGUUCCUCUGGUGAUGUAGAGGUGAAUCCAGGCACUGCAGCCCCCUGCACCACUCCCAUUCCCCAGGUUCUUAUAGCCUUUAGCCGUACCCUUAUCCUACUCCUCAUCUGAUGAUGUAGAAGUUAACCCAGGCCCUGCAGCCCCCAGCACCACUCCCAUUCCCCAUGCGCUAUCAUUUGUUGACUUCUGUAACCGUAAAAAGCCUUGGUUUCAUGCAUGUUAACAUCAGAAGCCUCCUCCCUACGUUUGUUUUAUUCACUGCUUUAGCACACUCUGCUAACCCCGAUGUCCUAGCCGUGUCUGAAUCCUGGCUUAGGAAGGCCACUAAAAAAAAACUGAAAUUUCCAUCCCCAACUAUAACAUUUUCCGACAAGAUAAAACGGCCAUAGGGAGCGGUGUUGCAAUCUACUGCAGAGAUAGCCUGCAGAGUUCUGUCUUACUAUCCAGGUCUGUGCCCAAACAAUUCGAACUUCUUCUUUUAAAAAUCCACCUUUCCAGAAACAAGUCUCUCACCGUUGCCGCUUGCUAUAGACCACCCUCAGCUCCCAGCUGUGCCCUGGACACCAUAUGUGAACUGAUUGCCCCCCAUCUAUCUU